Molecule: ribosomal RNA, 1367 nt
Filed under: uncultured Planctomycetota bacterium
Lineage: Bacteria; Pseudomonadati; Planctomycetota
Description: bacterial SSU rRNA
Rfam family: Bacterial small subunit ribosomal RNA
Source: RNAcentral
GGAUUAGGCAUGCAAGUCGAACGAGGAUAUAUCCUUCGGGGUAUAAGCCGAGUGGCGCAAGGGUGAGUAAUGCAUAGAUUACCUGCCUCUAGGAUAAGGACAACUUUGUGAAAACGGAGCUAAUACUUAAUAAUACAAAAGAAAAUAAUUUUCUUUUGUCAAUGGGAGGGUAGCAAUACCUUUUGCCUAGAGAGGGGUUUAUGUCCUAUCAGCUUGUUGGUGGGGUAAUGGCCUACCAAGGCGAAGACGGGUAGCCGGUCUUAGAGGAUGGUCGGCCACACUGGGACUGAGACACUGCCCAGACUUCUACGGAAGGCUGCAGUCGAGAAUCUUUCGCAAUGCCCGAAAGGGUGACGAAGCGACGCCGCGUGAGUGAGGAAGGCCUUAGGGUUGUAAAGCUCUGUCAGGAGUUAAGAAAUAUAAGUGUGUUAAUACCACAUUUAUUUGACGAAGGCUCCAAAGGAAGCCACGGCUAACUCUGUGCCAGCAGCCGCGGUAAUACAGAGGUGGCAAGCGUUGUUCGGAAUUAUUGGGCGUAAAGAGCACGUAGGUGGGUUUGUAAGUCAGAUGUGAAAGCCUUCUGUUCAACGGAAGAAUUGCAUCUGAAACUGCAAGUCUUGAGUGUAGGAGGGGAGAAUGGAACUUCUGGUGGAGCGGUGAAAUGCGUAGAUAUCAGAAGGAACGCCGGCGGCGAAAGCGAUUCUCUGGCCUAUUACUGACACUCAGUGUGCGAAAGCUAGGGGAGCAAACGGGAUUAGAUACCCCGGUAGUCCUAGCCGUAAACGAUGGGCACUAAGUAGAGGGGAUUACCGAUGUUCUCUCUGCCGUAGCUAACGCAUUAAGUGCCCCGCCUGGGGAGUACGGCCGCAAGGCUAAAACUCAAAAGAAUUGACGGGGGCUCGCACAAGCGGUGGAGCAUGUGGCUUAAUUCGAUGCAACGCGAAAAACCUUACCGGGGCUUGACAUGGUAGAAGUAGGAACCCGAAAGGGUAACGAACGGUAUCCAGUCCGUAGCUAUCACAGGUGUUGCAUGGCUGUCGUCAGCUCGUGUCGUGAGACGUUGGGUUAAGUCCCCUAACGAGCGAAACCCUUGUUUUUAGUUACCAGCGGGUUAUGCCGGGUACUCUAGAAAGACUGCCGUCGUCAAGACGGAGGAAGGUGGGGAUGACGUCAAGUCAUCAUGGCCCUUAUGCCCCGGGCUGCACACGUGCUACAAUGGUCGGUACAAACGGAAGCGAAGCCGAGAGGUGAAGCGAAUCCUAAAAAGCCGAUCUCAGUUCGGAUUGGAGGCUGAAAUUCGCCUCCAUGAAGUUGGAAUCGCUAGUAAUCGCGGAUCAGCAAUGCCGCGGUGAAUAUGUUCCCGAGCC